Molecule: ribosomal RNA, 497 nt
Filed under: uncultured bacterium
Lineage: Bacteria
Description: partial 16S ribosomal RNA
Rfam family: Bacterial small subunit ribosomal RNA
Source: RNAcentral
GAUGAACGCUGGCGGCGUGCCUAAUACAUGCAAGUCGAGCGAACAGACGAGGAGCUUGCUCCUCUGACGUUAGCGGCGGACGGUUUAGUAACACGUGGAUAACCUCCCUAUAAGACUUGUAUAACUUCGGGAUACCGGCUCUAAUACCGGAUAAUAUCUUGAACCGCAUGGUUCACUAGUGAAAGACGGUUUUGCUGUCACUUAUAGUUGGAUCCGCGCCGCAUUAGCUAGUUCGUAAGGUAACGGCUUCCCAAGGCAACGAUGCGUAGCCGACCUGAGAGGGUGAUCGGCCACACUGGAAGUGAGACACGGUCCAGACUCCUACGGGAGGCAGCAGUAGGGAAUCUUACGCAAUGGGGGAAAGCCUGACAGAGCAAAGCCGCGUGAGUGAUGAAGGUCUUCGGAUCGUAAAACGCUGUUAUUAGGGAAGAACAAAUGUGUAAGUAACGAUGAACGUAUUGACGGUACCUGAUCAGAAAGCCACGGCUAACUACGUG